UGAAAUAUAUAUCAUAGAUAAUCUGAUAACAAAUCCACAAUUCAUCGGAUAUCGACAAACACACCGCGAAAGAGGAUUACAUCGGAUAGAUCUCCAUGAAGAUCAUGGAGAACUUUGUAUUGAAGAUCCAAGAGAGAGAGGAAGCCAUCUAGCUACUAACUACGGACCCGUAUGUCUGAAGUGAACUACUCACGAGUCAUUGGAG
This 205-nucleotide long non-coding RNA is filed under the name Hordeum vulgare. RNAcentral's name for it is "long non-coding RNA (HVUL_LNC018488)". The record is from RNAcentral. Lineage: Eukaryota; Viridiplantae; Streptophyta; Magnoliopsida; Poales; Poaceae.